UCCGCAUAAUCUGGCCGUAUAUUUGACAGAGCCAUCUGAAAUUGUUCAAGCCAUUUUUUCUUCAAAUCUUUAGUUUUGCAAUAAACUUCUAAACCAUUUUGACCUUGGAUAUGAAUGAGGUAGAAGCCAUAAGACCACUUCUUAUUUUCUUUAUCAGUAGUGGGGUUAUUAGUAAUUUUGUAUUUCUGAAGAUCUAUUAUUUCCUUCAUUUCG
Molecule: long non-coding RNA, 213 nt
Filed under: Gallus gallus (chicken)
Lineage: Eukaryota; Metazoa; Chordata; Aves; Galliformes; Phasianidae
Source: RNAcentral